CAUUAGAUGACUGAAAACAAGUAAUGGUCUCUUAAACCAAAUUAUAGUAACUAAUAAUUACUUCUAAUGA
RNAcentral lists this transfer RNA (70 nucleotides) under Phyllothelys sp. 1 JZ-2017. Its description in RNAcentral is "tRNA-Lys". The record is from RNAcentral. Lineage: Eukaryota; Metazoa; Arthropoda; Insecta; Mantodea; Hymenopodidae. RNAcentral also lists the same sequence under 1 other name.